CUUGUGACAUCAUAGAAGUAGGAAACGGUGACCGCCUGCUUGCUCGCAGGCAUCCAGUUCUUCUUGGUGUUGGGGUCAAUCUGGAAGACAUGCGCUCGGGUGGUGAAGAUGGGCUGUUCUCUGCAAUAAGAGAGUGGGCGUAUAAUAGAAUUGCACAUAGAGAACACCCAAGAAAAUCAACUGAAAAACAAACAUUGCCUGAUAUAGUCUGAUCAUCUUGAAGAAGCCUG
RNAcentral lists this long non-coding RNA (230 nucleotides) under Pan troglodytes (chimpanzee). Its description in RNAcentral is "long non-coding RNA NONPTRT005464". The record is from RNAcentral. Lineage: Eukaryota; Metazoa; Chordata; Mammalia; Primates; Hominidae.